UUUUCUGAUUGUUUUAUUUAUUUCGAAUAGAUAUGUUUCACAGAUUAAUAAAUAAUCGAAAUGCUAUAUGUAUAAAAAUUACAACUGUAUAACUGCCCUUCAAUAGUACUUCAAAGAAUUGAUUUAUCAUGUAUCGUAUUCCACGUGCUUAUACUCUCUUAAAAACUUUGCAGUUUGCUAAUAUGAUGCACUAUUGUUUAAUUAUACUUUUGAUCAUGUUCAACGGUCGAUAUUUGUAGCUACUCUGCAAGACAUAACAAGCAAAACGAAAUUUGAUGUUCCCCGCGGGAGGUAUUGCAUAUCUACGUAUGUAUAAGUAGUCUAAAUUGGCCUCAAACGUGAUUUAUUAUCCGAAGUCUAAAUAAAGGAAUAAAACAAAAACAACAUUCAGCAUAUUAUCAAGCGAACGACCACCGAACGAUAUCAAAGGGAAAAUACGUCUAAUAAUCAACACACCAUCUUCCGUUACUAUUUUCGUUCAAUUAAGCGAUCUACUUCCGAUUUCCUCUCCUCCAUACACCUACACAAACAACAAUAGCCAUGUGUUUUUUUUUCUCCUACAGUUGUCUUCAUUUUCUUUUCUCUUGAACAAAAAAAAAACCAUUCAGAAUUUCACACUAUCAAUUGUUUCGAUCGGUUAUUUCUGCAUGAUCAUCUUCAUCAUCUGCCAAAGAGAUUGACCUCUCCAAUGCUCUUCGUUUGCUACACAGGCAAUUAUCAUAGUUUUACUCCGGCCCAUGUGCACUACUUGCGUUCGUUGGAUUAUAAUUGAUACUCCCGCUAUGUUUGGGAUUGGUAAACGGCGCCUUUAGUUUUUUUUGUUUUCGAUCCGGCAGCGCUAAUGAUGGUUUCGCAAUAUGGUUUGCUAUAAUUGAAUUGAAUUGAACUUGAAAUCGAGCCUUAUCUGCAUGGCUGGGGGGAAUUUGGCUUUAUUCUUACGCAAACAGGUGCGAGCAGAAUUUUCCCGAAUAAGCAGAUUUGCAACGGGAUGUGUGAUGAGGAGAUGAUCGGUUCCCUACGCGGCUAGGAUUGUUCAAAUCGCGAACAUUCCGCUUUUGGAUUGAAUUAGAUUAGUUCUCUUUUGUAGUAUUUUAUUUUGUUAUAGUUAGGCUUGGUAAAGUAGGUUAAAAUUGUACUUUCUUCUCGGUUCUUAUGUUUGCUGCAUGCUCUAUAUAAUUUAAUUUCUACGUUUCUUUUCUUUUUCUUAUCUGGAAUACAAACAUAUAAAUAGAAACUUCUUGAAAGUGGUUUCCUUUCUCUCUAUGUUUUAGAAUGUACCUCCCUCUGUAGUUUUGCAUCUCUAAAAAUACUAUACAUUACAUAAGAUCCUCGUUUCUUAAAUAGAACCGUUGCUUGUUAAUGGUGAAGGUUAGAAUGUGGAUUUUCUUCUUUGAACAAUUGAUUUGCGGGUAGUGAGUGAUAGCUGAGUAUAAUGGGUAGUGGGAAUUACAUAACGUUAUUUUUUCUACUCGAUGAAAUUCAGGUAUCUUACGGAGAUGUUAUCGAGCACCACUUUUCGAUCAGAGUUUUCGAUCCAUUUAUCUAAGAGUUUCAAGCUGACAGAACUCAGAACUGAAACCAAUGAUCCAACUCCUUUUCAGAGAAGUUAAGUUAAAUUUGAAACAGUUGAAAAAACUUGUAA
Molecule: long non-coding RNA, 1642 nt
Organism: Ochlerotatus camptorhynchus
Lineage: Eukaryota; Metazoa; Arthropoda; Insecta; Diptera; Culicidae
Exons: 2
Source: RefSeq, a predicted model, not a curated record